Molecule: long non-coding RNA, 482 nt
Filed under: Capsicum annuum
Lineage: Eukaryota; Viridiplantae; Streptophyta; Magnoliopsida; Solanales; Solanaceae
Description: long non-coding RNA (CANN_LNC007442)
Source: RNAcentral
CCUGUAAAAGUUACAUACCAUUUUUUGCUCCACAGGAAUGCGACUAACAGUUCCCGCAGUAUGUAGAGAGCCACCCUUGGCUAUGCUCUGACUUUCUUUCCUUUUCACUCAACUUUGGGUAUUCUUCGCUAUUCCAAUAGCGAAGACAAUCUUGCCAUAUUCUAGGGUCUAUAAAACUUGGUUUUACCCUAUUUUGUCUUGCAUAAUCCAACAAACCGUUCAUUCUGAGUAUUGCUCUUUUAAAAAAAUUCUUCCAUACAGCAAAGUAAUCUGUUGGAUCCCACCAGAAAUAUUUCUACAAUAAAAACAAAAGUUUAAUAUUCAAUUAUUUGUUUUAAUAAUGUGUUAAGUAGUCUAUAAGUUAAAUCUUUACCUAAAAUUCUUUAAACAUUCCAUUUCUAUCAAAUUCUGGAACCUUCUACUAACUCGUCUAAUAGCCUUUGCAGUGCUGACAAAUGCAUUUAGUAGUAAUUUUUGCAAUU